RNAcentral lists this long non-coding RNA (1275 nucleotides) under Marmota monax (woodchuck). The record is from RNAcentral. Lineage: Eukaryota; Metazoa; Chordata; Mammalia; Rodentia; Sciuridae.
GUGACUUUAAUAAUCUGCCGCAGUCUGGCUGGGCACAAAUCACUGAGCCGCCACAAAAGCACUUGUAUGUUCAAACAGGAAACUUUAUUGCCCGAACUCCACCAGCACUCCACGCACACUCCCCGAGAACUCUCCCAGCUCUCCCCCGGGCUCCGCACCUACUCUCUACCCUGCGAGAACUCAAUGGGAACCAGAACGGGCGCCAGAGGCAGCAAGAGCCGCCCUAUUGCUGGACAGUAAAGGUCUAUAUACAAUUGAAUACACAUCAUCAUCUCAGUGGCUCCCUGGCAUCACCUCUCAACCACUCCCUUCUGGCAAAAUGCCAUGAGUCAUCCCUACUUGGCUGUGGCCCUCAACAAUAAUCUAUAGCUUGCAACUUAACUUUGUUGCAGGGCUCAAGACAAUAACUGUUUUCAAGAAAGACUAUUUUUUAUAAAUGUGUUAUUUGUUUUGAGCUACAAAUUAAUAGUUGUCAGCUGCAUUCAGCCAUUGUGACAUGUGACCUGCAAGCAAACUAGUAUCUAAAUGUAAUAAGAGGAAGCCCUGGUGCACUAAGUGGGGAACCUUCUUUGGGCCCUGCAGAGCCUUGUGAAUGGCAUUUGCUUACUUGUUUAGGGUAAAUUUCUGUAGAAAAUAAGGCUAUCUCUAUAGAGGGGCAUGGCCAGCUUCAUUUGCUGAUGUGGGAGUUAUUGAAAUAGCAAGAAAUGGUGUGAACCCUAAUGCACUGUGGAUUUCCUAGAGGGCCUUGAAAAACCAGCCUCUAUCUCAGAGCAAAGCCUGUCCAAGGAAGGGACAUGGCCUUUGUCCUUGGAAAAACCCACAGAGCACUCCUAAGCACAUUCCCAUCCUGCUAAGUUGUUUAUCUACAAAUAACAGGAGAGAUCUGCUGCGCCAGGUGUCCCUGACUCAGUCAGGCUAGGUGGGGAUCCAUAGCAGGCCCCUAGCAGCCACCAAUCAGCAUGAGACAAGGAAAUACCUGGGAUGCCAGAUGACCCUCCCAGUGGUUUAUGGUGGUUGAUAACAAGUUGGGAAACCAUGUAGUUCAGCAUGUACACCCCUCUUGGCUCAAACCAAUCAGUUCAAACGAAUACACCUUUUGUACUGACCAAUCACCCCUACCCAACUUGUUCCCGCCAGUGAAUGUGCUAAUCAUGUUUUAGAGUUGUUAUUUGAUUUUCCCGCGGUGUGUGAUGAUUUGCUAAAAGAGGCUAUGAUGUAUGUGAAGUCCCUGCCCUCCCCAAAAAAUGUAUAAAAAUGCUGCAAACCCCUGGGCUC